RNAcentral lists this ribosomal RNA (468 nucleotides) under uncultured bacterium. Its description in RNAcentral is "bacterial SSU rRNA". It matches the Rfam family "Bacterial small subunit ribosomal RNA", at positions 29 to 506 of the family's 1533-position model. The record is from RNAcentral.
AUGAACGCUGGCGACGUGUUUAAGGCAUGCAAGUCGAAUGCUAAGUUAAUUGUAGCAAUACAGUUGAUGAGGCAUGGCAAACGGGUGCGUAACACAUUGAUAAUCUACCUCGGGGACGAGAAUAACUCUGCGAAAGCGGAGAUAAUACUCGAUAUUAGUGAGGGGGCAUAUGCCAUUCUCACUUAAAGUUCCGGCGCCCCGAGAGGAGUCUAUGGCCUAUCAGCUAGUUGGUGAGGUAAAAGCUCACCAAGGCAAUGACGGGUAGCGGGUGUGAGAGCACGACCCGCCUCACUGGGACUGAGACACUGCCCAGACUCCUACGGGAGGCUGCAGUCAAGAAUAUUCCUCAAUGGCCGAAAGGCUGAAGGAGCGACGUCGCGUGAUUGAAGAAGUCCUUCGGGAUGUAAAAAUCUUUUCUUAGGGAAGAAAUCUGACGGUACCUAAGGAAUAAGGGGCUGCUAACUUCGU